RNAcentral lists this ribosomal RNA (1150 nucleotides) under uncultured bacterium. RNAcentral describes it as "bacterial SSU rRNA". It matches the Rfam family "Bacterial small subunit ribosomal RNA", at positions 38 to 1181 of the family's 1533-position model. The record is from RNAcentral.
AGCUACAGGCCUAACACAUGCAAGUCGAGGGGAAACGGCAGCUUAGCUUGCUAAGCUGGACGUCGACCGGCGCACGGGUGAGUAACGCGUAUCCAACCUGCCCCACGGUGAGGGAUAACCCGCGGAAACGCGGCCUAAUACCUCAUGGUCUCCGAGCUUGACAUCAACCUUGGAGUAAAGAUUCAUUGCCGUGGGAUGGGGAUGCGUCUGAUUAGCUUGUUGGCGGGGCAACGGCCCACCAAGGCGACGAUCAGUAGGGGUUCUGAGAGGAAAGCCCCCCACAUUGGAACUGAGACACGGUCCAAACUCCUACGGGAGGCAGCAGUGAGGAAUAUUGGUCAAUGGGCGAGAGCCUGAACCAGCCAAGUAGCGUGCAGGAUGACGGCCCUAUGGGUUGUAAACUGCUUUUAUGCGGGGAUAAAGCGGGCGACGUGUCGCCCUUUGCAGGUACCGCAUGAAUAAGGACCGGCUAAUUCCGUGCCAGCAGCCGCGGUAAUACGGAAGGUCCGGGCGUUAUCCGGAUUUAUUGGGUUUAAAGGGAGCGCAGGCCGGGUAUUAAGCGUGUUGUGAAAUGUAGGCGCCCAACGUCUGCACCGCAGCGCGAACUGGUGCCCUUGAGUACGCACGACGUUGGCGGAAUUCGCCGUGUAGCGGUGAAAUGCUUAGAUAUGGCGAAGAACUCCGAUUGCGAAGGCAGCUGACGGGAGCGCUACUGACGCUCAUGCUCGAAAGCGCGGGUAUCGAACAGGAUUAGAUACCCUGGUAGUCCGCGCGGUAAACGAUGGAUGCCCGCUAUUUGCGCAUUAGCGCAAGUGGCCAAGUGAAAACGUUAAGCAUCCCACCUGGGGAGUACGCAGGCAACGGUGAAACUCAAAGGAAUUGACGGGGGCCCGCACAAGCGGAGGAACAUGUGGUUUAAUUCGAUGAUACGCGAGGAACCUUACCCGGGCUUGAAUUGCAGAGGAAAGAUCCAGAGAUGGUGAUGCCCUUCGGGGCCUCUGUGAAGGUGCUGCAUGGUUGUCGUCAGCUCGUGCCGUGAGGUGUCGGCUUAAGUGCCAUAACGAGCGCAACCCCUCUCCAUAGUUGCCAUCAGGUAGUGCUGGGCACUCUGUGGACACUGCCACCGUAAGGUGCGAGGAAGGUGGGGAUG